RNAcentral lists this long non-coding RNA (907 nucleotides) under Marmota monax (woodchuck). Lineage: Eukaryota; Metazoa; Chordata; Mammalia; Rodentia; Sciuridae. The record is from RNAcentral.
AAUCAGGGUAAUAAGCACAUCCAUCUCCUCAAUCAUUAAUCACUUUUAUGUGUUGGGAACCUUCAAACUCUUCUAAUUAUUUUGGAAUAUAUCAUAGAUUGCCAUGACUAAUAGUUACCCUGUUGUUCUAUGGAAAACCAGAACUAAUUCUUUCUAUCUAACUAUGCUUUGUUGCCCCUUAUUAGGCUUCUCUCUGUGCAUUUUCCCUCCCAUCCCACACUCCAGUGACCACUGUUCCAUUCCAUUCUUCUAUGGGAUUGGCUUUUUAGUUUCCACAAAUGAGGGAGAACAUGCCAGCUCAUAAGAUUCUUGCUUUAACAUGUACUCUGUAAACCAAGUGGUCAUUUCAGGUUGUGUUCACUCCGUUACGCAUUCAUUGAUUCUUCUUUCACCCUUUUAUGUACUUCUUAAUUCGGCAAAUAUUUCCUAAGCAGCAGAGAUCUCCUCCAUCCCUCAGAUCAAUCAGUUCCCAUCCCAACUCUGCACUAAGUCACCCAUGGAGGCCAAGGGAAAAUGAUUUCUCUUUCAGCAUCAGCUUCUCAAGAGACUGGACAACGUCUCUAAGGCUCCUUUCAUACUAGGUUCUAUUUUACGUCCAUCUUCUUUACUACAUGCCAGGAGGACACCUAGAUGCCUAGGGAUGGUUCUUGCCUUAGCAAAGCCCAUAGUCAAGUGAGGAAAACACAAUAACUGGUGUGUAUGACUCCCCCAUGCUGGACUAUAGCAUAUGUCACCUAAAAAAGUUUUAUUUAUCAAAUAAAUUUGAUGUGGCUCCCAUGUGCCAGGAUUGGCAGGAAAGUAGUUUUUCACCACAUUCUGUGGGCUCAACCCCUCUCCCAAAUGGUCAAUCAUGCACAAGAACCUUUCCAUAGAGUUGGAAAGUGGUGGCCCUUGAGCCCAAUGAAGC